Gallus gallus (chicken) is the source of this 1417-nucleotide long non-coding RNA. The record is from Ensembl. Lineage: Eukaryota; Metazoa; Chordata; Aves; Galliformes; Phasianidae.
UGUCCUUGGGUCCUGUUUGUUGCCUGGAAGAAGAGGCCAUAUCUCUCCUUAUCACAACCACCCCUCAGGAGGUUAUAGAGUGCAAUGAGGUCUCCCCUGAGCCUCCUCUUCUCCAAACUAGACAAUCCCAGCUCCCUCAGCCACUUCUCAUAAGACCUGUGCUCCAGAUCCCUUACCAGUUCCAUUGCCCUUCUCUGGACACAUUCCAUGGCCUCAAUGUCUUUCUUGUAGUGAGGGGCCCAAAACUGAACACAAUACUCAAGGUGUCGCCGCACCAGUGCUGAGUACAGGGGGAUGAUUACCUCCCUGCUCCGGCUGGCCACACUGUUUCUAAUGCAGGACAGGUUGUUGUAGGCCCUCUCGCCAGCUGGCCACACUGUAGGUUCAUGUUCAGCUGAGUAUCAACCAAUACCCUCAGGUCCCUUUCCUCUUCACAGUCAUCCAGCCACUCAUCCCCAGGCCUAUAGCACUGCAUGGGAUUAUUGUGGCCAAAGUACAGGACUCGGCACCUGGUCUUGUUGGACCUCAUCCCAUUCACCUCAGCCCGGUGAUCCAGUCUAUCCAGAUCCCUCUGAAGGGCCUCCCUACCCUCAGGCAGAUCCACACUACCUCCCAUCUUGAUGUCACCUGCAAACUUACUGAGGGUACACUCAAUCCCCUCACCUAGGUCAUCAAUGAAGAUAUUAAACAAGAUGGGAACCAGUACCGACCCCUGAGGGACACCAUUUGUAAUGGGUUGCCAGCUGGACUUAACUCCAUUAACCACUACCCAUUGGGCACGGCCUUCUAGCCAGUUCCUUACCCAAAGAUGGGUAUACCUGUCCAGGCCACAGGCAGUCAGUUUCCCCAGGAGAAUACUGUGAGAGAUCAUUUGAUGGAUACCUCAUCUCAUUGACACAACUGUUUGUCUUUAGGAAGAAGGAUCUCUUCAAGGAUCUCUUUAAGAACCUCUUGUCUUGAAUAGACCUACGUGUAAAUGCGUUGCUUCCCUGAGGCAUUUUCUUGCUAGAAUGUAGCCCAUAGGAUUUAAUUUUAAGGAGUUUCUUUUUGUUUCCAACAUUCUUUUAUCUUAGUUAUUUUAAUUUAUUCUAUUAGAAUAUUUUGAAUCAUAAUCUAGCUAAUGAAAGUCCUUAGAAUUUCCAUUUACAUCAUUUAAAGAAUUUAAAUCAGUUAAUAGCACUGAAAAUAAGGCAGAUGACUUUGAAACAUUCAAGUUUGACAGCAUGCUACUGGUAAAUAUGGGAAGGAUGGGUUUUUUUCAAUCAAUUAUUCAUUUUUACUGCAGAGAUCUCACAUCUCCACCAUAUAUCUUUUAAUUUAAGGGUCAAACUCAGUAAGGAAUUAGCAUUAAGGUUUGGCAAUUAUCAUGAUUAACAAUUGUGAACAGUCUCUUUUAUAACCUACACCUCAAUUCAGG